This 525-nucleotide ribosomal RNA is filed under the name Triticum aestivum (bread wheat). RNAcentral describes it as "partial small subunit ribosomal RNA". The record is from RNAcentral. Lineage: Eukaryota; Viridiplantae; Streptophyta; Magnoliopsida; Poales; Poaceae.
AUGCGGUACAUUCGAGAGUUGCAGGAUUGUAAACCUAAGCAAAAGCCACGGGUAGGAGGACUUGUUCCUCGAACUGGCUGGACCCCCCCGGAGUCGGGGGUGGCCAAGAUAUGGGUAGAUGGAGCUGUCUCAAGGAAUCAAGGCGAGGGAUCCAUCAGUGCUAUAUGCAGGUCGUCAGAUGGAGUUUUCCUGGGGGCAUCCUGCAUGAAAUAUAGUGGAAUAGCUGAGCCAGCCACUUUGGAGGCCCUCGCAUGCCGUGAGGCUCUGGCAUUGGCAACGGACUUGCACCUGGAGAGGAUUCCCAUUGCAUCUGAUUGUCAAACUGUGGUUCGAGAUAUCCAGAGUCGGACAGGUGGUUCAUAUGCUACGGUCAUCAAGGAAAUCAACGCGAGAGCGGCAAGUUUCCAGCAAUGUUCUUUCAUCUUUGAAAGAAGAGAUUCAAAUGUUGAGGCACAUAGGCUCGUUAAACACGCUUUUGGUCUGGAUCCGGGGCGCCAUGUGUGGCUGUUAGACCCCCAGACUUGA